GAUGAACGCUGGCGGCGUGCUUAACACAUGCAAGUCGAACGGAAAGGCCCAAGCUUGCUUGGGUACUCGAGUGGCGAACGGGUGAGUAACACGUGGGUGAUCUGCCCUGCACUUCGGGAUAAGCCUGGGAAACUGGGUCUAAUACCGGAUAGGACCACAUUUUGGAUGGUGUGGUGGAAAGUUUUUCGGUGUGGGAUGAGCUCGCGGCCUAUCAGCUUGUUGGUGGGGUAAUGGCCUACCAAGGCGUCGACGGGUAGCCGGCCUGAGAGGGUGUACGGCCACAUUGGGACUGAGAUACGGCCCAGACUCCUACGGGAGGCAGCAGUGGGGAAGAUUGCACAAUGGGCGCAAGCCGGAUGCAGCGACGCCGCGUGGGGGAUGACGGCCUUCGGGUUGUAAACUCCUUUCGCUAGGGACGAAGCGUUAUGUGACGGUACCUGGAGAAGAAGCACCGGCUAACUACGUG
This 466-nucleotide ribosomal RNA is filed under the name uncultured bacterium. RNAcentral's name for it is "partial 16S ribosomal RNA". It matches the Rfam family "Bacterial small subunit ribosomal RNA", at positions 28 to 507 of the family's 1533-position model. The record is from RNAcentral.